GUGGGGAAUAUUGGACAAUGGGGGGAACCCUGAUCCAGCCAUGCCGCGUGUGUGAAGAAGGCCUUUUGGUUGUAAAGCACUUUAAGUGGGGAGGAGGCUUACCUGGUUAAUACCUAGGCUAAGUGGACGUUACCCACAGAAUAAGCACCGGCUAACUCUGUGCCAGCAGCCGCGGUAAUACAGAGGGUGCGAGCGUUAAUCGGAUUUACUGGGCGUAAAGCGCGCGUAGGUGGUUAAUUAAGUCAAAUGUGAAAUCCCCGAGCUUAACUUGGGAAUUGCAUUUGAUACUGGUUAGCUAGAGUAUGGGAGAGGAUGGUAGAAUUCCAGGUGUAGCGGUGAAAUGCGUAGAGAUCUGGAGGAAUACCGAUGGCGAAGGCAGCCAUCUGGCCUAAUACUGACACUGAGGUGCGAAAGCAUGGGGAGCAAACAGGAUUAGAUACCCCUGUAGUCC
RNAcentral lists this ribosomal RNA (451 nucleotides) under uncultured bacterium. RNAcentral's name for it is "partial 16S ribosomal RNA". It matches the Rfam family "Bacterial small subunit ribosomal RNA", at positions 354 to 796 of the family's 1533-position model. The record is from RNAcentral.